RNA transcript from Hyposmocoma kahamanoa, 3308 nucleotides. It is a transcript of the gene named protein tumorous imaginal discs, mitochondrial-like, with no coding region annotated. NCBI's taxonomy places the organism in Eukaryota, Metazoa, Arthropoda, Insecta, Lepidoptera, Cosmopterigidae. The record is from RefSeq and is a predicted model, not a curated record. The transcript has 11 exons.
UUAUUUCUUUCUUUCAAAAUGGUUCCAACCCGGAAUAUUUUCGGAUUUUUGAAUCCGAAAACUCUUACCACUGUUUUUACAAGUAAUAUUUCUAAAAAUGCGUGCCGAUAUAUUCACAAAUGUAAUAAAUGUGACCACUUCUUAAUUGGAGCUGCAAUUCCCGCUGCUGUAGGACAUAAAGCCUUCAAGUAUAACGACAAGUUGAGACCUCGCUUGUUUCACACAACUUCUAAUUUGAACGCCAGAGUAGACUAUUACAAAGUCCUGGGAGUAUCAAAAAAUGCUUCAGCCAAAGAAAUAAAACAGGCGUACUAUCAAUUGGCUAAAAAGUACCACCCUGAUGCUAACAAGUCCGACCCUGAAUCUUCGAAAAAGUUUCAAGAAGUGUCAGAAGCUUAUGAGAUUCUCUCUGAUGAGUCAAAACGCAAGCAAUAUGAUACAUAUGGUACAACAUCAGACCAAAUGGGUGGAAUGGGAGGACCAGGAGGACCAGAAGGCUUCACACACCAAUGGCAAUACAAAUCUACUAUAGAUCCUGAGGAAUUGUUCCGCAAGAUAUUUGGAGAUGCAGGUUUCAAGAGUGAUAUAUUCAGUGAUUUUGCUGAGAGUCAGUUUGGAUUUGGAGCUGCAAAGGAGGUAAUAGUGAAUCUCAGUUUCACAGAAGCAGCACGUGGUGUAAACAAGGACAUAAAUGUGAACAUUGUAGAUACAUGUCCUAAAUGCAAUGGAAGUCGCUGUGAACCUGGUACUAAGGCCAUUAAAUGCACAUUUUGCAAUGGUACUGGCAUGGAGACAUUCUCUAGAGGUCCAUUUGUGAUGCGUUCCACAUGUAGACACUGCCACGGCUCGAGGAUGCUUAUCAAAUUCCCUUGUGUCGAAUGUGAAGGAAAGGGACAAUCUGUGCAACGGAAGAAGGUGACAGUACCAGUGCCAGCGGGUGUGGAAGAUGGGCAGACAGUGCGCAUGGCGGUUGGAGACAACGAGAUCUUCAUCACAUUCAAAGUGACACCUUCCACCUAUUUCCGCAGAGAUGGUCCUGAUGUGCAUACAGAUUGCUCUAUCUCGGUGUCUCAAGCUUUGUUGGGUGGCACUAUUAGGAUACAGGGAUUAUACGAAGACCAUACACUACAGAUAGCACCUUGUACGUCAUCGCACUCCACAAUUCGCCUUUCCCGGAAGGGCAUGAAGAGAGUCAGUCAGCACGGGUACGGAGACCACUACGUUCACAUCAAGAUAGUGGCACCAAAGUCGCUAACGGACAAGCAAAAAGCUCUGUUGUAUGCAUACGCUGAGCUCGAGGAAGAUACACCUGGUCAGAUCCACGGAGUAUCUUACAACAGAGAUGGUACUAAAGUGUCGAUAGCGGAGCCCCAUAAUCUCGUAGACGCCGUGAAAGAAGCCCUAAAACAAAAGAAAAGCAUCGAAGGCACCCCGCCAGAAGACGAUGACCUCAAGGAGUCCAGAAGCAAGGGUUAAACUAUAUCAGUACAGCUUGACCGCCAUCAGCUUAACACAAGGAGGGAAACAUCGAGUGCGGCACUAUUGAACAAAUUACGCUAAGGUGAUUGGUUGAGUGCGUUUUCCUCCCACAGAAGAGAAAAUUCUGGAGGUCAAGCUACUGGAGUAAAACUCAGUUUACAUAGCUGCGGAACGGGAUUUUUUAACCAUAGAUACGAACCAAAAAAACAGGACCGAUAGAGUGCCAGCAGCUGGAUUUUGUACGUUUGGUAUUCUGCUAAGAGUUAAGAGUAGUGACUUGUCAGUGCCUAGCCACCGAGUUACUCACUGCCAGUGCAAUUUUUUGGUUUCUGCUCUUCACUCUGCUCGCUUGGCGAGUCGAUGGCACGUCUGUGGUGUAGUCUACUAACGUUAUAUGUAUUUAAUUUGAAGACUAAAUUGCUGCUCAAACGAGAUAAAAAUUAAGACAUGCGUAGUAAUUUCCGUGGAAAUUUUCGUAAGGCAACAUCGAUUUAACAAUGAUCGAUUUAACAAUGAAUGAUUGAAUGAAUGAGGGCCAUCACUGCCAUUGCAACUCGAUUUUAGCAGAAUAACAAAUAACUAUCAUAAUUGUAAUGUCAGGGGAGUGGCAAUGGAAUUGCAGUGGAGUAUCAGUGGUUUGAAGAAAGUUAGCAGAAUUCCUGAGAAUUCUCGCGCUGUCUGGGGAAUUACACUUACCGUAUCGUAUCUAGUUUGUACAUUGCACAAUUGACAUGAAUUUCAUUAUGCUAUGUACAAUUUCGUAACAAAUAUUUAGUUUCAUUCCGUUCCGUUGCAAUGUAAAUUGAGCCUAAAGAGGUUUUAGGGCAUCAGCUAUUUCAAGCUUUAGUGGCGCUUAAAAAUUCAAAUAUGUCUUUGUGAACGAGUCCACAAUGAACUCGCACGUUGAUGCAACAGCUUGAAAUAGCAGAUGUCUUAGACCCCUUAUUAUCUUAUUCUUAGUCCAUUCAAAGGUAGAUAAAAAUAUUCCAAUUUAUACAUUUUUAUUUUAGGAGUUGGGAAUACGCCAAGGUAUACAUUUUAGCAUUUCGUCGAAAGCUUCCAAUUUUUGUUGGUUGUAUUCUGAGGCUACGGUUGUAUUACAUAAUGCUACACUUUUGUAGUUUAUUUUAAUUGACCACUAAGUAAUUUGGGAAAUUGAUUACGGAGACUUUUGUCCUUGAAUAACGGGUAAUCGGACAAGGACGUCGUGUUAGUAAUAUGAUAGCAAGGCCAUGGACCGAUAACCAUGAGGACUGCGAAUCUCCAGAUGGCGCUGAUCUUUGAUGAUAGCCUGGAAGUAUUUUAUAUUAUGUAAAUGGCCGUGGAUAUCAAUAAAGAAUAGAAUAGACAUUUAUUGCUUGUGCCAAGUCCCAAAAUGUAUACAAAGAACUGUCACUGUCAAAGUGACAUCUCAUGGAUCAUAAACCUUUUUUUCCCGGUAUUAACAGGUCUACUACUCUUCAUUUCAAUUGACAAAUGAUGAUGAUGAUAAUUUGAAUAAAUGAGAAGGACCACGGGCCAUAGAAAAUUACCCCGGGCAUGGCACAAAAACAACUCGGGUUUUUCUUUUAGAUUAGACAUGAACUCUAUAUAGUUUUAUUUUCGAUAUCAGUAGCUAACAUGUUGUUACUCAGGCGAAAAAGUGUUAAAUAAUGUAUUUUCAUGUAUAAACCAAACGCCUAUCAGGUUUUUAACUAUUCUUCAAAAAUUGUUAUCGGGAAAUAGAUGGCAUUGUGUGUUACAGACUAAUUUAUAAAAUACCGUUUGUUAAUAUGGGUAGAUGACACCACUUGUAAACAAAAUAAAAGAAUAGCCGGCAAUAUUCAUAA